CAGCAGCCGCGGGAAUACGAAGGGUGCAAGCGUUAAUCGGAAUUACUGGGCGUAAAGCGUGCGUAGGCGGUGAGUUAAGUCUGCUGUGAAAUCCCCGGGCUCAACCUGGGAAUGGCAGUGGAUACUGGCUCGCUAGAGUGUGUCAGAGGAUGGUGGAAUUCCCGGUGUAGCGGUGAAAUGCGUAGAGAUCGGGAGGAACAUCAGUGGCGAAGGCGGCCAUCUGGGACAACACUGACGCUGAGGCACGAAAGCGUGGGGAGCAAACAGGAUUAGAUACCCUCGUAGUCCCUGUCUCUUAUAC
This 301-nucleotide ribosomal RNA is filed under the name uncultured bacterium. RNAcentral describes it as "partial 16S ribosomal RNA". It matches the Rfam family "Bacterial small subunit ribosomal RNA", at positions 509 to 807 of the family's 1533-position model. The record is from RNAcentral.